Molecule: ribosomal RNA, 243 nt
Filed under: uncultured bacterium
Lineage: Bacteria
Description: partial 16S ribosomal RNA
Rfam family: Bacterial small subunit ribosomal RNA
Source: RNAcentral
AGGGAGCGAGCGUUGUCCGGAAUUACUGGGUGUAAAGGGAGCGUAGACGGCCACGCAAGUCUGAAGUGAAAUGCCAGUGCUCAACACUGGAACUGCUUUGGAAACUGUGAGGCUGGAGUGCAGGAGAGGUAAGUGGAAUUCCUAGUGUAGCGGUGAAAUGCGUAGAUAUUAGGAGGAACACCAGUGGCGAAGGCGGCUUACUGGACUGUAACCGACGUUGAGGCUCGAAGGCGUGGGGAGCAA